GUGGUAAUGCCGGAUGCUCCAGUUGAUCGCAUGGUCUUCUGGGAAAGCUUUCGCGGUAUGGGAUGGGGUCGCGUCCUAUCAGCUUGACGGCGGGGUAACGGCCCACCGUGGCUUCGACGGGUAGCCGGCCUGAGAGGGCGACCGGCCACAUUGGGACUGAGAUACGGCCCAGACUCCUACGGGAGGCAGCAGUGGGGAAUAUUGCACAAUGGGCGCAAGCCUGAUGCAGCGACGCCGCGUGAGGGAUGGAGGCCUUCGGGUUGUAAACCUCUUUUAUCGGGGAGCAAGCGAGAGUGAGUUUACCCGUUGAAUAAGCACCGGCUAACUACGUGCCAGCAGCCGCGGUAAUACGUAGGGUGCAAGCGUUAUCCGGAAUUAUUGGGCGUAAAGGGCUCGUAGGCGGUUCGUCGCGUCCGGUGUGAAAGUCCAUCGCUUAACGGUGGAUCCGCGCCGGGUACGGGCGGGCUUGAGUGCGGUAGGGGAGACUGGAAUUCCCGGUGUAACGGUGGAAUGUGUAGAUAUCGGAAAAGAACA
Molecule: ribosomal RNA, 534 nt
Filed under: Bifidobacterium longum subsp. suillum
Lineage: Bacteria; Bacillati; Actinomycetota; Actinomycetes; Bifidobacteriales; Bifidobacteriaceae
Description: bacterial SSU rRNA
Rfam family: Bacterial small subunit ribosomal RNA
Source: RNAcentral